AUUGAACGCUGGCGGCAGGCCUAACACAUGCAAGUCGAGCGGAUGAAGGGAGCUUGCUCCUGGAUUCAGCGGCGGACGGGUGAGUAAUGCCUAGGAAUCUGCCUGGUAGUGGGGGAUAACGACCGGAAACGGGCGCUAAUACCGCAUACGUCCUGCGGCAGAUAGUGGGGGAUCUUCGGACCUCACGCUCUCAGAUGAGUCUAGGUCGGAUUAGCUAGUUGGUGGGGUAAAGGCCUACCAAGGCGACGAUCCGUAACUGGUCUGAGAGGAUGAUCGGUCACACUGGAACUGAGACACGGUCCAGACUCCUACGGGAGGCAGCAGUGGGGAAUGUUGGACAGUGGGCGAAAGCCUGAUCCAGCCAUGCCGCGUGUGUGAAGAAGGUCUUCGGAUUGUAAAGCACUUUAAGUUGUGAGGAAGCGCAGUAAGUUAAUACCUUGCUGUUUUGAGGUUACCAACAGAAUAAGCACCGGCUAACUUCGUG
RNAcentral lists this ribosomal RNA (484 nucleotides) under uncultured bacterium. Its description in RNAcentral is "partial 16S ribosomal RNA". It matches the Rfam family "Bacterial small subunit ribosomal RNA", at positions 30 to 507 of the family's 1533-position model. The record is from RNAcentral.